Molecule: RNA transcript, 3726 nt
Organism: Erigeron canadensis
Lineage: Eukaryota; Viridiplantae; Streptophyta; Magnoliopsida; Asterales; Asteraceae
Gene name: micronuclear linker histone polyprotein
Exons: 8
Source: RefSeq, a predicted model, not a curated record
AAUAAACUUUUUUCCCCCGAAAUAAAUAUCUCAAACACGCACUACCGAGUAACCACCUAUCCAUUCCGCCGCCAUCUGCCGGCGACCACCGAUUGGGGUAUAAAGCUUGUAAGAUCUGUGGUUUGGUUUAUAUGGCUGAUCGUAACUUGGUGGCAGUUAAGCCAAUAUGGAUGAAACAAGCAGAAGAGGCAAAAAUAAAGAGUGAAGCUGAGAAAGAUGCUGCAGCUAAGGCUGCAUUUGAGGCUACGUUUAAGGAUGUUGAGAAGAAUCGAGAGCCUGCUGCUUUGUCGGAUAGCGAUGGCGAUGAAGAAGAGGAUUUGACUAACAAGCCUAUUGGGCCGGUUGACCCUUCUAAGUGCACGGCUGCUGGGACUGGUGUUGCAGGGGGGACUGCAUGUGCACAGUCUUCAUUUGUGGUCGUUACGAAGGAUUCGGAUGGUCGUAAGGUCCCCAAGGGUGGAGCUCAAGUGAAGGUGAAGGUUUCACCUGGAGUGGGUGUUGGAGGGGCUGAACUGGAAGGUAUUGUUAAGGAUAUUGGGGAUGGGACAUAUACAGUCACUUAUGUUGUUCCAAAGAGAGGAAACUACAUGCUGGAUGUCGAGUGUGACGGGAAGCCUAUCAUGGGAAGCCCGUUCCCUGUUUUCUUUAGUGCAGGCACGACUACAGGGCUUUUGGGCUUUGCUCCACAGUUGAAUUUCCCAAAUAUGGUCAACCAGACCAUGCCAAACAUGCCAAAUUACUCUGGUUCUGUUUCAGGGGCAUUUCCAGGACUUCUUGGUAUGAUUCCUGGUAUUAUUCCUAGUGCCUCAGGUGGGGUCGUCCUGCCUGGGAUUGGAGCAUCACUUGGGGAAGUUUGCCGAGAAUACUUAAGUGGACGAUGUCUUAAAACUGAUUGCAAGUUCAAUCAUCCUCCACACAACCUGCUGAUGACUGCUUUUGCUUCCACAAGCACCAUGGGAACUCUUAGUCAAGCCCCAAUGGCGCCAUCAGCUGCUGCAAUGGCAGCUGCACAGGCCAUUGUUGCUGCUCAAGCACUUCAAGCACAUGCUUCUAGUGCACAAGCUAGCUCCUCUAAAGACAAUUCUGGAUCAGCAGAUAAGGCAGCAAAGAGCGAGUCCUUAAAGAAGACUUUACAAGUUAGUAACCUCAGCCCGCUGCUUACUGUGGAUCAGCUGAAACAGUUUUUUAGUUUUUGUGGCACCGUUGUAGAUUGUAGCAUCACCGAAUCCAAGCAUUUUGCUUACAUAGAAUAUUCAAAAGCUGAAGAAGCAACUGCUGCACUUGCAUUAAAUAACAUGGAUGUUUUAGGCCGGCCGUUGAAUGUUGAAAUGGCCAAGUCAUUACCUCAGAAGCCUGCUAAUUCUGCUCUUGGUUCAUCUUCUUUGCCAAUGGUGAUGCAGCAGGCUGUUGCAAUGCAGCAAAUGCAGUUUCAGCAGGCUCUUAUAAUGCAGCAAACCAUGAAUGCACAACAGGCAGCUAAUCGAGCAGCAACCAUGAAAAAUGCAACAGAAUUGGCAGCAGCUAGAGCUGCAGAAAUAAGUAUGAAGUUAAAAGCGGAAGGGAUAAUUGGAAUUGGAAAUGAAGAUGAAUCAGUUAAAACUCACAGGUCACCAUCUCCUGUCCCUGCAAGGUCAAGAUCUAAAUCGAAAUCUCCAAUCAUAUAUAAAAGAAAUCGGAGGUCUCGUUCUUAUUCACCACCGCCUCGCCGUGUGAGAGAUUAUAGGUCCAGGUCACCUAUAAGAGGUCGCCAUUACAACAGUUAUGAGUAUGACAGACGGUCUUAUAGGGACACUAGGGGUGGUAGUGACAGGGAUAGAAGACGAGAUUAUGGCAGAUCAAAUGAUCGCCAUUCUUGGAGAAAUAGGAGCCGAAGUGUUAGCCCAGUGACAAAAAAGUCUUAUCGUAAUGGUUCAGAAUCUCCAAAACGCCGUCGCGAAAGUCCAACUCAUAGGUCCAAAAAGUCUUCUCGUGCCAAUUCUAGGUCACCUGCUAGUCAUCGUGAUGUUCAAAGCAAAGAUAAAUAUAGAAGACGUUCCAGGUCAGCAUCUUUGGAUGCCAAGCAUCGGUCUAAUGAUAAAUUAGAAGACAAAGAGGAAAGAUCAAAGUAUCGUGAUGAUCAAAGUAAAGAAAAACACAGAAGACGUUCUAGGUCAGCAUCUUUGGAUGCCAAGCGUCGGUCAGUUGACAAAUUAGAUGUCAAGGAGGAAAGAUCAAAGCAUCAUGAUCGGCGGCGUUCUAGGUCUAAAUCUAUAGAAAAUAAGCACCGAUCUGGUGAUAAAUCGGGUGACACAAAACAAAGGGAUCGUAGGCGAUCCAGGUCACCACCAGCAGACGAUAAGCAUCGAAGUCGUAACAGUUUGAGUGCAAAAGCUUCAGAUGAAGGUAAAUUAAGGCAUAGGAGACGAUCCAGGACUAGGAGUCCUGAAGAUAACCACCGGAGUGAUAGAACUGAUAGAAGCAGGAAAGAUAAGUCAAAGUCAAAGUAUCAUGGUAGAAGGCAAUCCAGGUCAGCAUCACCCGAAGUGAAACGUCACAAAGGGAGUAGAAAAUCUCCAGGAGGGUCGGAUGAACACAGACCAAAAAACAGAAAGCGGUCAAGGUCUAGGUCAAAGUCAGUAGAACAUGGCCGAUUGAACGAGGAUUUAGAUGGCGGUAAAGAUAAAGAUGUUGAUGAUCUACGAGAGCCCGUAUCUUCUGGUGAUAUUAAAUCAAACAAUUUGAAGGAUUUUAAGGAUGAUGGAGCAUCCUUUUCAUCGCCUGAGGGUGCGGGAGACCUCCAUAAGUCUGAAGGUGGUAGAAAUGUUGAAAGAGAUCAUGACAUAGCUGAGGUUGAUGACGCAUGAUACGGGACGGGUGGUUUGUCGGUAUUCUUGUAAAGCAGUGCUACUUGAUAACGCCUUUACAAGUAUGCUAUGUAGAUUUGUAUUAUGAAAUCUGGAUAUUGAGGAGAGGCGCCAUGAAAGAUUUGCUGGAUUUCAGUUUAGCAAUCAGAAGUCAGAAUGUUAUCUCGAUCUUUCGGCUCAGUAGAAUAAAUGUUGUUUAUUUCUUUUGCAGGUUUAAUGGGAAUAUGUGGGACUCGCUCUUUCUGCAAAUUUUAUUUGGUUAAAAUGUUUGAAGAACUUCUCUGCACCCCUAACUGGAGUCUGCAGUGCAAUAUUUUUAGCGACUUAAUCAGCUUAAUGUUGCUGGCUGGUUUCUUUUGGCGGUUUAUCAGAUCCAUUUGUCAGGGUUUUUUCUUUCCGUUGUAUAUAAAAGGUCAGCUUGUUAAGACAAACUGCAGCUAGAUGUCUCCGAGUUGACAAGGCAGAUUGGCUAAACUGAGCACUCUUUUAUCCUGGUGAAAUAGGAUAUGUUAGUUGGCAGGUGACGUUUCCUACAGCUAAAAGGAAAGCGAUGAUGUAGAUAUGCAAAGAACAGAGAUGUAAGAUUGUUUUUAUGGAGGAGUCAAUGAAGAGUUGCAGCGACUGAUCGACAUAGGAAAUUUAAGACUGCAUUAGUGAUGCAUCCAUCAAUUAGAACAAGGUCCACACACUUUGAACAAUUCCGCGUUAUAUAUAUAAUACUCCGUAUAUAUUUGUUACCAUCUUGACAUCUUGUCAAAGUGUACAUCAGCCAGCCAGAAGGAUGAUUAUUUUCGAUAGUGCUCAUUUAUGUUUUGUGUUGUGCUGGGUGUCCUCAUACAGUGAAUUUCAUUAAUUGGAUUCAAUGAUCAAUGGAAGUUUUUUG